Molecule: long non-coding RNA, 2436 nt
Filed under: Ananas comosus (pineapple)
Lineage: Eukaryota; Viridiplantae; Streptophyta; Magnoliopsida; Poales; Bromeliaceae
Description: long non-coding RNA (ACOM_LNC009644)
Source: RNAcentral
UAAACUAUUAUCAAAAUUUAGGAAAUUUAGUUUCUAGAUAUUUCAAAUACUCUAGAUCAACUUUAACGGCUCCGAUCAUCGAUUCGGAAUCUCGAUCAUCAAGAACAACUUGAUAGGACAAGUGCUCCUAUCCUAUAAUAGAAUAGUAGCAUUAGCCUAUAUAUAUAUAUAUAUAUAUAGAGAGAGAGAGAGAGAGAGAGAGAGAGAGAGAGAGAGAGAGAGAGAGAGAGAGAGAUGACUUGUCCUAAUUAGCUAGAGGGUUAUCUUCGAUAGUAAUAUUUGUAUAAUUACGGAUUAAAGGAAGAGCACGUACAAAAUUAACUGAUAAACAAGAAUACAAUAAAAAUGAUGAACUAUGAAUCAUUUUCAGUCGGCUAUCAAAUCUUUCAAAAUAUUGAUUUUACUGUUCAAUAUGUUUGAUUCAAAUCAAUCAAUGACAUCUUGACUUUAAAAUUUAAAUGCGUCGUUUAUCUUUACAUAUUUAAUGCGCAUACUUCAUUCAGCUCUCGCAACUAUAAAUUCAUUAAAAUAAAUAAUUAAUUUAACUAUUAAAGUUAAAAUAUUAUUGAUGAAUUUAAAUCAAAUCAAUUGAAAGGUCAGAUAGUAAAAUCAAAAUUUUAAUGGUUGGAUAUCUGACUCAAAAUAUGUUCGUACAAUGGUCUACUUUUAAAAUAUUAUAACAUUAUACACCUAUAAAAAAUUCUAAAGAGAAAUACCACUUGUACACCUAUUUUGAGAUUUCUUAGUAUUAAAAAGAAGGGAUAAUAUCUAAUAUACCAUACAAAAUUUUUGAAAUAUCUUAUAUACUUCUAUUUUUUCGUUGCAGUUAUACCUCUCAUAUAUUUCUCCGUUAUUCAUAAUAAUAAUCUUUCUAUUAAUACCCAUUAAGUAAUCUUGGAUUAAAUCCGAAUUAAAUUUCUACCCGAUUUAAAAAAAAAUUAAAAUACCUCUUUUGCCCCUAACUUAAUGGUAAAUAGAAAAAUUUGAUGACGAUAGAAUGAUAUAUUUGAACUAGAAUAUAUCUGAAAGGAUAAAAUAAUAAUUUUACAAAGAUAAUAGCUAAUUCUAAUAAUUUACUAAAAGAAUUUAACAGUAUAUUAAAAAGAUAUUUUUAAUAUUAAUCUUAUAAAAGAAGUAAACAAGAAAGUUAGAAAAUUUCGAAGAGUACAUAAAUAAUUGCUUCUGAAAAGGAAAAGAAGCUUAACAAGAUAUUCGUACCAAAGAUGUAUAAUAAGAAUUUAGGGAAAACUUCAAAAACUCUUCAUGUGGUUUCGUAGUUUCUUACUUUGACCCCCUGUAGUUUAAAAUAUAUCAAUUUGCUCCUCUGUGGUUUCGUUUUUAUCUUUUCCGUAACUUUUUCGUUAAUAUUUUAUUAAAUUAUAUACAAAAAACUUUAAAUACCCAUAUAGAUUUAUCAAAUAUUCACUUUAGUAUUCUUUAAUUUUAACUUUAUCACUAGUUUAAGAAAAAAAAAUGAAUAAGAAAAAGAGAAAAAAGAAACCACAGGGAGGCAAAUUGAUACAUUUUGAACCACAGGGGGGCAAAGUGAGAAACUAUGAAACGAUAGGGGUAGUUUUUGAAGUUUUCCCUAAGAUUUAUAUAUAAUUUUGGAGUAGGGAUGUCGAUAGAUCGGAUUCGGGACGGGCUCUUAAAAAUUCGAAUCCGAACCUGAAACCUGAAAUCCGAACCUGAACUAAUUAAAAUCCGACAGAUUUUAAAAAUCUAUAUCCAAAUCCAAAUACAACCAAAAAUCCGAAAUUGAAAUCCAAACCCGAACCGAAAAUCCGAACGGGUAACGGUUAUUUCUCUUUAUCAUAUUUCAAAAUAUAUUACAUUAAAUCUAAAUUUUUAAAAUACAGAUUUAAAUAUAACAUCAAAUAUUUAUAUACAUAUAUGAGUCCGGCAGGGAUAUUAUCGAUAGCACCAAGAAUAUGGUGCUAUCGAGUUUUCCACCGUUAGAUUUAAUCCUUUGAUUAUUUUUAUCCGUUAGAUUAUACUAUUUAACCAACCAUCCACUCAACUGUAGAGGGCCCACAUCAUCCUAACCACAUAUUUUUCAAUCCAAAAGCUAAAAAACCAAUAGCACUAAUAAUUUGGUACUAUUGAUAAUAUUCAAAUCUAGUUCUACAUAUAUUAUAUAAUACAAAAUUAAUUUGGAUUCGGACCAAAUAUAGAUAAAAUUUAUACUCGAAUCCAAAUUUUCAGAUUUUUUUUUUUUUAUAUCCAUUUAGAAUCAAAGUAAAUCCAUUCUGUUCGGAUCCGAAUUCGAAAAGAAUAUCGAUCCAGGUUGGUGACAUUCCUAUUUUGGAGUGUACCAGUAGCAGCAGCAGCAGCGGGGUUGUAAUUGUAAAAUUGGAAAGGGUGGGGGGUUGUUAUGUGUGAGAAAUAUGGGAGUUGUGGGGGGUUAUUUUAUUUUAGCGGAUGUCGGUCGGAGAG